RNAcentral lists this transfer RNA (72 nucleotides) under Candidatus Woesebacteria bacterium. Its description in RNAcentral is "tRNA-Glu". It matches the Rfam family "tRNA". From Rfam's summary of the family: Transfer RNA (tRNA) molecules are approximately 80 nucleotides in length. Their secondary structure includes four short double-helical elements and three loops (D, anti-codon, and T loops). The record is from RNAcentral. Lineage: Bacteria; Candidatus Woeseibacteriota.
GGCCCUAUCGUCCAGUGGUUAGGACACCUGGUUUUCAUCCAGGUAACUAGAGUUCGAUUCUCUAUAGGGUCA